AAGAAUUUAUUCGGGCCCAACCAUGGAUUUUUUGGGCCUCAACAAGAAGGAACAACAUGUGUUGUUGAUCCAUAUCCCUCUCAACACUAAACGUCUUCAAGUAGUUGGAGAAUGAGCAGUUCUGGUUGAGGGUGGCAGGAGAUACAGUGAACUUCUUAGCCAGCCGGUCAUAAUUCUUCCCUCUAUGGUAAGCACCAACUGCAUCAGCAAGGCUUUCAUGAGGCCUGAACCCGAAGAUUUGAGUCAUAUCCGUCAUAGUUGGAAUCAUGGGGCCCACAUUGAAGUCAAAAGUAUUAUUGGUAGAAUUCCAGAAACAGAGAACAUCAGCCAGCAGAUUCUCGUCCCUAUUCACAGACUGCUUGGACAGAAGUAUGACAUCAUAAAUG
This 386-nucleotide long non-coding RNA is filed under the name Prunus persica (peach). Its description in RNAcentral is "long non-coding RNA (PPER_LNC004372)". The record is from RNAcentral. Lineage: Eukaryota; Viridiplantae; Streptophyta; Magnoliopsida; Rosales; Rosaceae.